This 484-nucleotide ribosomal RNA is filed under the name uncultured bacterium. RNAcentral's name for it is "partial 16S ribosomal RNA". It matches the Rfam family "Bacterial small subunit ribosomal RNA", at positions 30 to 507 of the family's 1533-position model. The record is from RNAcentral.
AUUGAACGCUGGCGGCAGGCCUAACACAUGCAAGUCGAGCGGAUGAAGGGAGCUUGCUCCUGGAUUCAGCGGCGGACGGGUGAGUAAUGCCUAGGAAUCUGCCUGGUAGUAGGGGAUAACGUCCGGAAACGGGCGCAAAUACCGCAUACGUCCUGAGGGAGAAAGUGGGGGAUCUUCGGACCUCACGCUAUCAGAUGAGCCUAGGUCGGAUUAGCUAGUUGGUGGGGUAAAGGCCUACCAAGGCGACGAUCCGUAACUGGUCUGAGAGGAUGAUCAGUCACACUGGAACUGAGACACGGUCCAGACUCCUACGGGAGGCAGCAGUGGGGAAUAUUGGACAAUGGGCGAAAGCCUGAUCCAGCCAUGCCGCGUGUGUGAAGAAGGUCUUCGGAUUGUAAAGCACUUUAAGUUGGGAGGAAGGGCGGUAAGUUAAUACCUUGCUGUUUUGACGUUACCAACAGAAUAAGCACCGGCUAACUUCGUG